RNAcentral lists this ribosomal RNA (604 nucleotides) under uncultured bacterium. RNAcentral describes it as "bacterial SSU rRNA". It matches the Rfam family "Bacterial small subunit ribosomal RNA", at positions 240 to 863 of the family's 1533-position model. The record is from RNAcentral.
AUUAGUUAGUUGGUGGGGUAACGGCCUACCAAGGCGACGAUCAGUAGCCGACCUGAGAGGGUGAUCGGCCACAUUGGAACUGAGACACGGUCCAAACUCCUACGGGAGGCAGCAGUGGAGAAUCUUGCACAAUGGGCGAAAGCCUGAUGCAGCAACGCCGCGUGAAGGAUGAAGGCCCUUGGGUCGUAAACUUCUGUUCUAAGGGAAGAUAAUGACGGUACCUUAGGAGCAAGUCCCGGCUAACUACGUGCCAGCAGCCGCGGUAAUACGUAGGGGGCGAGCGUUAUCCGGAAUUAUUGGGCGUAAAGAGUACGUAGGUGGUAACUUAAGCAUGUGGUUUAAGGCAAUGGCUUAACUAUUGUUCGCCGCAUGAACUGGGCUACUUGAGUGCUGGAGAGGAAAGCGGAAUUCCUAGUGUAGCGGUGAAAUGCGUAGAUAUUAGGAGGAACACCAGUGGCGAAGGCGGCUUUCUGGACAGUAACUGACACUGAGGUACGAAAGUGUGGGUAGCAAACAGGAUUAGAUACCCUGGUAGUCCACACCGUAAACGAUGAGCACCAGGUGUCGGGGUCGCAAGACUUCGGUGCCGCAGUUAACGCAUUAA